GGGCGGCUAGCUCAGUUGGUUAGAGCGCUGCUUUCACACGGCAGAGGUCACAAGUUCGAAUCUUGUGUCGCCCA
Molecule: transfer RNA, 74 nt
Filed under: Planctomycetaceae bacterium
Lineage: Bacteria; Pseudomonadati; Planctomycetota; Planctomycetia; Planctomycetales; Planctomycetaceae
Description: tRNA-Val
Rfam family: tRNA
About the family: Transfer RNA (tRNA) molecules are approximately 80 nucleotides in length. Their secondary structure includes four short double-helical elements and three loops (D, anti-codon, and T loops).
Source: RNAcentral